UUCAAACGCGUGUACUUCGAAUGAUAGACAGUCCAACCAUUGUUUCCCCAAACGGAAUUAAGAUACGCAGCAAGUUUCAUCCAAUUAGCCUCAGAUGCGAUGUCUGGAUUCCACUCCCCACUUUUUUUUCCAUUCAACGUAUGUCAUAUAGAAGUGUAUCUCCAUGUUUUCAUCCCAAUGAGCCUUUGCAGUGGUAUGAUCAUG
RNAcentral lists this long non-coding RNA (204 nucleotides) under Coffea arabica (coffee). Its description in RNAcentral is "long non-coding RNA (CARA_LNC005294)". Lineage: Eukaryota; Viridiplantae; Streptophyta; Magnoliopsida; Gentianales; Rubiaceae. The record is from RNAcentral.